This is a long non-coding RNA of Siniperca chuatsi (mandarin fish), 565 nucleotides long. RefSeq lists it as uncharacterized. The transcript has 3 exons. NCBI's taxonomy places the organism in Eukaryota, Metazoa, Chordata, Actinopteri, Centrarchiformes, Sinipercidae. The record is from RefSeq and is a predicted model, not a curated record.
UCUGUCUGUUUCCGUCGUUCAGUGUCAGAUCUACAUUGAUCCCGGUGUCUCGCGUCCUUUGUUCCUCGCGCAUCUUUGGAUUUAUAUGUCUGUUUGAACUGCUCACCUGGUUUGCUGAUCCCUGCCUGCCUGACUUCCCCUACAGUAAGGUCAAACCAGAACAACCAAAGCAGAGCUGAAUGCAACAAAGACGUCUGGGGACCGAACCAGAACACUUGCCUAACAUACUGACCUGGUAGAAUUAGAGAUGUGUGUGUCCUCCUGUGAGGGAAAGCCUACAAGACUCGCUCUGUGCGCAUGUGUGUGUUUGUGACAUCAAUAACCGUGAUGGGGAAGAGAGCCGAAGACAAAUAGUGCCUGGAGUCCGGCUUUAAGUGACUCCUGUGUUUCAACAACACACACCACGAGAGUCCUUGGGAGGCUGUGUAUUAAUCCAACAGAUUUAUGACUAAAUCUGUUACGGAUGGGACGAGAACACCCUCUGCUUUUCCUUUAGCCAUUCCUGAGAGAAAUACACACCACCCAGAGCACACAUCCUAAAUGUGUGCGUAUACACAGCUUUUAA